GUCAUCUUUGUCCACAUGACCUUUCGAAGGACUUCAAGGACAAGGCUAUGCACCCUCUGGUAUUUGUCAUCUGGAAUGAUCUUUGGAGCCCUCCACAGGUCCACCUGGCAUCUCCCAAAACCACCAAAAGGCUGCAUGUGCACAUACCUCAACAAGGAUCUCCUUCCCAAAGGACAUCAGUGCCACCACAGUGGAGAGGGGUGGGGAGUGGCAUGUACCUGACAACGAGGGGAAUAGAAAAGAGGUUUUCACUCCAAGCUGAGAAGAAGUGGGGUCCUGGUGUCCACAGAGAGGAGUCCUGGUGUGCAUAGAAUGGAGGUGAGCAGGCUUUUUAAAGUCAGAAGACAGAGCAUAUUGUAAGGCAGAUGACUUCAUGUUGGGUCAGAAUCCUGGAGACUUAGCUGAACCAGAGAGUACGGAAGCAUGUGCGUUCUGAGUCCCCAGGCAAAGGGGGUGGAGGGACACAUCCUGAUGCAAGAGCAGGCAGGAAAACAUGGAGCGCAGUAAGAUUUUAGGUACAGGGGGGCAGAUGAGUGAUAUGAGAUCAGGACAGGAAGAGUCAGGAUCUUGGGGUCCAAAAUGCAUGGCAGGUUCACAGAGAAACAAAUCUAAGAGUAACACCUGCUUAUGAGCUUGCAGGUUUCUUCCCCCUCUCUGGGUUUUGCUUGGCGGUUCUCAAUUUGGCUGCACAUUAGAAUCACCUGGGGGAACUUUGAAAACUCCCAAUGCCCAGGCCAAGAAAUCAGACUCACUGUGUGGGGGACCCACCACCUGGAUUUCAAUGUUCCUCAGGUGAUUCAAAUGGGUAGCCAAGGAUGAGAAAAGUAGAAUUUUAGGUUUAAAAUAGUAGUAGGUUUAAAAAGUAGACUUUAUUAGAUUGCUGUUUUUACUAUAAAAGAAAUAUGGGCAUAUUAUAGAAGUUUGGAUGGAGCAAAGAUGUUGGGGGAGGGUGCCACCCAUUGCCCCAUGGCCUUGAGGCUGCUAUAGAUGGUGCAGCCUGUGCCUUAUUUGGGUCUCUGUUCCCAUAAUGGUGAACGACAGUUCACAGCCAGGGCAGGGCUGUGCUGCCGAGGAACACACAGGAUGUGAUGUAUUUUCUGUGUCCGUGGCCCUGUGUGGGCACAGUGAGGGCUGCACUCAAUAAAUGUUUGUAGGAUGAGUGAAUGGAAGCAGGAAGGCAUAAACUCAUGAAAAGCAGCCUAAGACAUGGUCCCUGCCCUCUAGGAACUUACAAAGGGGCAACUGAAUAGAUAUUAUAAUGACAAUAAUCAGAUGGCGAUAAUAGUCCCUGCAUCAGUGGCUCUGUGUGUCUGUGCAUGCAGCCCUGCAGCCAGGGAAACCAGGGGAAGGUUUUUGAAAACUCUGUUUGGUAGCUAGGGCCUCUCUUAUCUUUAUUAAUUCCCUGCAAGGCACUGACACACUGUCCCUUUCUUGAUAAAACAGGUAAACAGGAGCAGACCAAAAGCCAGUGAGGCAGGUUGCCAGUGGUACCCAGAGCCCACCUGAGUGGUCACAGCGAGGGCUGAGGGUCUGGAAAAUGAUCUAGACACCGAGCAGAGAAGAACCAGGACAAAUUGACCCUGACCAGAAUGGAACAUGCUGAGCACUCUGAUGAAGGUGACACUUUGAAGACAUGUGCCUUGAGCUGACAAGAGGUAGUUUCAAUAGUGAGCAAAUCCUUGAUUUCUUGAAGGUGUGGCUAUGGAAAGAUACCCCUAGGAAUAAGCAGAUCCUAAUGAUGAUCCCACUCCUCUGCUCCCCAGCUUUGCACCCUCAGUUUCCACAUCUGAACCACAAGCACAUAACUCCCAAAUAAAAUGCAUAGGUGGU
Molecule: long non-coding RNA, 1830 nt
Organism: Mustela erminea (ermine)
Lineage: Eukaryota; Metazoa; Chordata; Mammalia; Carnivora; Mustelidae
Exons: 3
Source: RefSeq, a predicted model, not a curated record